AGUGAACGCUGGCGGUAGGCCUAACACAUGCAAGUCGAACGGCAGCACAGUAAGAGCUUGCUCUUACGGGUGGCGAGUGGCGGACGGGUGAGGAAUACAUCGGAAUCUACUUUUUCGUGGGGGAUAACGUAGGGAAACUUAAGCUAAUACCGCAUACGACCUACGGGUGAAAGCAGGGGAUCUUCGGACCUUGCGCGAUUGAAUGAGCCGAUGUCGGAUUAGCUAGUUGGCGGGGUAAAGGCCCACCAAGGCGACGAUACGUAGCUGGUCUGAGAGGAUGGUCAGCCACACUGGAACUUGGACACGGACCAUGCUCCUACGGUAGGCAGCAGUGGGGAAUGUGGGACAAUGGGCGCAAGCCUGAUCCAGCCAUACCGCGUGGGUGAAGAAGGCCUUCGGGUUGUAAAGCCCUUUUGUUGGGAAAGAAAAGCAGCAGGUUAAGACCCCGCUGUUCUGACGGUACCCAAAGAAUAAGCACCGGCUAACUUCGUG
RNAcentral lists this ribosomal RNA (492 nucleotides) under uncultured bacterium. RNAcentral's name for it is "partial 16S ribosomal RNA". It matches the Rfam family "Bacterial small subunit ribosomal RNA", at positions 29 to 507 of the family's 1533-position model. The record is from RNAcentral.